This is a long non-coding RNA of Centrocercus urophasianus (Greater sage-grouse), 4361 nucleotides long. RefSeq lists it as uncharacterized. The record is from RefSeq and is a predicted model, not a curated record. The transcript is spliced from 2 exons. NCBI's taxonomy places the organism in Eukaryota, Metazoa, Chordata, Aves, Galliformes, Phasianidae.
GGAAAAUGGUACCACAUACUCUUUUUUCUUACAUGUAACCAAAGAAUAUUUUUAUGCCCCAUUUCUCGCAUGUCCAAGUUUUAAUUACAGUACUUACUGCAAAAUCCAAUGUGCAUGUCCUUGGAUAGGCAGGGAUACCUGGGCUGAAGCGCCAGAUUGUUUCCAAGUGAUUAAAUAGCUUUCCAUCAGUGCAGGAUGCCUAAAAGAAAGUUUGAAAAGCCAAGCUGCAGUUAAGCUCCUACACGAGGGACAAAUCAGGAUUACUGAACGUGCAUUCGCAUUCUGCUAGACUGUGAGGGUCACAGCAUAGUUAAAAAUUGUUCUCAGUAGUGCAGCCAGCGAGAGAUCUCAUUUGCACAGCGUCACGUAGAGUAAAAUAACUGAAAACCUUGUAUGGUGGGGGAAGGAUUUUUGUCUUGAGUCGUAAAACAGAUCUCUCGCCUAAGGCAUCGCACACCACCAUAAUGUUAGUGCUCUAUUACCAAAAUAUUGGUAUAACACUGUUUUCAGCAAAGGAUGUCGAUAUUUACUGGCUUUGUAUAUGUAUUUAUUUUAAUACGUGUAUAGAAUGCUUUAUAUAUUAAUGUGUAGACCAGUAAUCUUGUGCUAUAGGAAUGUUUGACUUCAAUCGGGUUUAUUUUGAUGCUGAACUCAAAAAGUCCUUUGUCAUAAGGCACUAUCAUCAUCAAGAACUACCCCAAAGUCAGUGAAACCAUAUACACUCAAGUUCAUAAUUGCCUUAUAUCUUGGCUUUGUUUCCAGCAAGACACAUUUAAUCAGUGAUCUGAGAGCCCUUCUAUACAGUCCUACUUUAAAACCAUAAACCAAGCCGCCUCAAAGACUGAUCAAAUGCAGAAAAGUACCUCAUUUUUUUCUGCCCAGUAUAGCAAUACUGUGCCUCACUGCUUCUGCAACAGAAGGGGAAGGAAUAGAGAGAAGGGCAGACAGGAAAAGGGUGCUGAGCCCUUCAGGCCUGUUGCUGACAAAAGGACAGGAAGCAUGGGGAAAGUGCCAGCAUGUGCCCCUUGCUCCCAACCUGACAAGCAGUGAAACUCAGCCAGCUCUUCCCUCAGCAGCAAGAGCUGCUGCUACCAGCUUGAUUUUCUAGGGCUUAAGCACUGCUGCUGGAAGCAAGAAAUCCAUGUUCAUUUUGUCAUCGCCAAUAGGCUGCUAUACAGAAACACCAUGCAAGCUGCCUUUGCCCAGAGUUAUUUCUGAAGACAGUGUAAUAGUCCAAACACAUAGUACUUCAUGGUAAUGUUCCUACAGUUACAUGAGCAUAAUGUAAACUUGUAGGAAAAAUCAUCCCAGCAGAGAUAACACAUUUCUUGGUCUUUUCUGAGAUGGAAACUUUUCUUUUGACGGAAUAAAAGCGAAAAAGGCUUUUUAAGGCAACCUGAUAUCUAUCUGUGAAAGAAGAAAAAAAAAUAGGCACUCUUGUCAGGGAAGAACAGAAAGGGAAAGCAUGUAAAACGCAGAUUUUUCUAUUGCAAUUGUUCAACUUUAUUAGAAAUGCAAGGAAGUUUUUUUUUUCUUUCCAAAAUUAGUAAGUACCUUGAUUAAAAGUACUUUGCAUGUUCUCUUUCCAAUUCAUGUCCCCCCUGCACUUAAGAAACCCAUUUCUGUUUUGAGCAGUGUCCCAUAAGAGGAAGCCUAGAAAAGAACAGUAAAAUAAGAUGUCCAAAUACGUGUCUUGAAUAGUAACCAACUGUCAUUUCAUUAAUUGCUCCAAAAGGUGAUCAAAAUUGCCACAUAAAGGGAGAGGCAGUUGGUACAGAUCUGGUUGGGGCUGUUCCUAACAGAGUGAACCUGUGAGGUAGACAAGCAGUUGGAAGAUCCUGGCCUCAUUUAAGUUUCUCCUUUAAUUAUUGCCCUUGAAAAGCUGAAAGGAGAAAACACACAAUUGCUAAACAAAUAAAUUCUAAGAAAUGGACUUUAAAACAACUGAUGUUCUCAUAAUAUAUUGAAUAACAAGCUCUUCAGCAGAUCUUCAUCCUGAAGUUAACACUUCUUACAUAAUUCAAACUGUCAGAAGAAAAAGAAUGAUUUUGCUCAGAUACCAGAAGCGACAGUUGUCCGAUAACUUUGAAGCCAUUGAUUUUGCAUUUAGAUAGGCUUGAUACAUAACAAAAAUAAACACGAACUGGCUAUCUUGAAUGGCUGCCUCUUUCUCCAGCAAAAACAAGCUUAAAAAACAAUUUUUCCCCUAUUUGGCAGCCGAUGUUUUAAAAGCAGAUUCAAAUUAUCCCUGAGUAACCUGAAGUUUUUAAGGAAAAGCACCAGUUUUGUACCACGGGAAGCAAUAUUGGAAUGUCUAACACAUGAGUUAUGGAGAGCAAUAGGUAAGAAGAAGUUACCUUAACUAAGUGUGGUCUCACCAGGGUAACAACCGAUGUGUAUCGUUCUACUACAGGAGGGAAGCCUAUUUCUAGCUGUGCUUUGCAGUACCCAGAGCGCUUCGAUAACACGUCUGACUUUUUACACCAAGGCACAAAUAGCUUGUAGUUCUCCACAACAGCAACAACUUCGUACAUUUCCUGCAUAGAAUAACUGGAAUAAAAAGGUGAGCGUUACAGUUACCUGGUGUUUUUACUAUGAAUUCAGUAUUAAAAGGUUCAAAGAUAUCGUUUAUGACACAGGCAGUUCUGAAGGUGAACAUGCAGAUACCAGAAAACCCUACUGUUACUUCUGAAAAUUAAACAUGCAGCAAGAGAAAAAAAAAGCUAUUAUAGUAAAAAAAAAAAAAAAAAAAAAGCUAUUAUAGUAAAUUGGUGAAAGCCUUUGCAGAAAGAAGCAAAACAGCACACAGCAUCCAGCUGUGAGGUUAGUGGCCGCUGGGCCUGUUGCCUGCUACUUUCUGCAGUACUGGGGAAGCAUGCUUAGAUUUCAAAUAGAAAAAAGAGUUUUUUCCAGCAUGGUAUGUUGUCAUUCGGGUGGAUGUGACGUUUCACGCAGUGAAAGAAUGUGCUCUUCACAUCCUCCAAAAAAGGGAUGGCAAAACUAAGGGCCUGUGUUUUAGAAGGUUUAAAUAGAGCAAUGCUGCGUUCCUUACUUAGCUCCUAAAACAAGCUGAUUAAAAAAUACACUCGCUGGAAAAACAGUAUUAUUGGACAAAGGUUCCUUUUAAACAACUACCCACAAUUUAUUGCAGCUCAAGAAUUACUAUAUAAAUGAAUGUUAAGUAUCAUCAAAAAUAUUAAACGUAAUGAAUGAAUUAUACUACUGCAGACUGGAGCCUGGGAACAGAUCCCGAUCUCAUUAAGUUGAUGAGAAGUUUUCCACAGUCUUUUUUCUGUGUGCCUGUGUUUCUUAAUCCCACAAUUAGUUAUUUUCUUUCUUUUGAAAAGAGAACAAAAUCUCAAGUGAGAAGUACCACAAAAUCUAAGUGUAACAUUGCACGUAUUUGCAAGAAAAGGGGGAAAAAAAAAUUCAGUUCUCCCAUCUUUUUGUAUACCCCCAUUUCACCAGAUUAGUGAUGCAUGCUUCCCUGUUGGGACUGUUUUUGUUCUGUUGCAGAAUAAAAAGGUUAUUUCUGCUUUUUCUUUCAAAGGAGAGACGGUAUUUUAGGUUCCUCAGUUUUUGGUAUUGAAUUUCAGACAUGAACAGCCUGACAUCUGCAAGUUCUGGAUGUCAGAACUUACUGCUGGUCUCCAGCUGGGCACAGUCUCAGGGCCGUGUAUCUUCAGGGAUGGUCAGCCUUUGGAUUUCCAGUGUUUCUGAUUAAUCACAGCAAACACAAAUUUUCAAAUUUCUAUACAUACCCUAUAAUUCUCCUUUCAGAGUAUUCUUUUCUUUUAUUUACUAGUGGUGCAGCGAUGUUGAAGAAACUUCUUGAAAAGGUAUGGCUCAGCACAGGCACUUGCAGAGGAGAAAUUCUGGUCAUCAGAAUACCACAAGAAGCCAAGUGCCUGCAACAGUGAGAAUGCUUUUAGAUGUUUGUGUUUUCAGCAAGGCAGAUCACAGCAGAUUAUCUGUGAAGAAUGGAUGCUACCAGAACUUGCUGGGCUUGGCCCCGGUCCGGAGCGGCUCGCUUCUUCAGGAAACCACACAAGUGCGAGCCGCAACGGGCAGUCGUGUGUUCCUGUGAGCCCGGCAGAGGCCCCCGAAGCAAAGCCAAGUCCCUCCCAGGAUGCAAGCACCGCUCCUACUGCCGCGCUGCCCUGACAGCCCCUCAGCGCUUCCCCAGCAGCAGCACGUAUUCGGGGGUUGUCUUUAAUUGCCACUAAGCUUUGCGCUGAAUGCCCCUCUCGGUAAUUGCUCCCGCUCUCCAUUCAGAACUGCAUCGUUUCUAAAAAGUUCAUUGAAAAUGGCUGGUUUACUUUGCAGGACCCAACUAUUUAAAUGGCGAAGAUGUAAAGUGA